CCUACGGGUGGCUGCAGUGAGGAAUAUUGGUCAAUGGGCGGGAGCCUGAACCAGCCAAGUCGCGUGAAGGAAGAAGGCCCCACGCGUCGUAAACUUCUUUUGUCGGGGAACAAAGUGCGCCACGCGUGGCGUUCUGAAUGUACCCUACGAAAAAGGAUCGGCUAACUCCGUGCCAGCAGCCGCGGUAAUACGGAGGAUGCGAGCGUUAUCCGGAUUUAUUGGGUUUAAAGGGUGCGUAGGCGGUCGGUAAAGUCAGCGGUAAAAGGUCGGGGCUCAACCCCGGAGGGCCGUUGAAACUGGCGGACUUGAGAAGGCGAGAAGUAGGCGGAAUGCGUGGUGUAGCGGUGAAAUGCAUAGAUAUCGCGAAGAACUCCGAUUGCGAAGGCAGCGUACCGGCGCGCGACUGACGCUGAGGCACGAAAGUGGGGGUAUCGAACAGGAUUAGAUACCCGAGUAGUC
This 459-nucleotide ribosomal RNA is filed under the name uncultured bacterium. RNAcentral's name for it is "partial 16S ribosomal RNA". It matches the Rfam family "Bacterial small subunit ribosomal RNA", at positions 338 to 795 of the family's 1533-position model. The record is from RNAcentral.